AUUAAGUCACUAUUUGUUCGGAGGUGUCUCUAACUAUUUUCACUGGCCGAUCGUUCGUUAUUUACUCUGGCACGUCACCACAUCUCUAACCUUAUCCUUGCACUUCCUAGCAAUAAUACGAACUCAAUAUAUUUAAUCACAUACGUAUACGGGCAGCACUUCAAUCAAUUAAUCCUUACUCAAAUUUAUAUUUUUCAUCCUAUUAUGAAACCAUCUUCAAUUAACUUACCUCUUAAUACAUUUUUACUAAAAUUACUUAUAUCCAUUGCGUACGUAAUUCCUUAGAUUAUAUCACCAGUAACUUAUUUAUGAUGCCACGUGCCUACUUCAACCUUUCUAAAUAAUUUCUGCCUAAAUCCAUCUUAUAUUUCUACACAUAAUCCACAUAUAUGGCAGCAACAAUCAUUCUCACUUUCACUCGAUUAUUUCCUAAUUUACACGCAUCGUUAUCUAUCUAACUUUCAAUACUUUGUUUCUCAAUCCUCCAUCCACAAUAUUCCUUUUUCAUUUCUUUCAGACGACAUGCCAUACAAUCUUAACAAUUUUCAACUAGCUUAUGCAAAUAGAUCCUUUCAACAACCAUAAUUCCCCACAAUAUUCAACUAAUCGUAGGCUUUAAAACAUAGUGUUAAGCUUACCAUUUUCCUUUUCCACUUUGAGUCAUUCAUGUACCCAUGGGUUUAUUAGCUUACAUGUUAUCAAUUUUUCUCCAAUCAAGCCAAUCUUUACUACCACAAGAGAUUUCUCUAAGUCACUAACUCAUUUUCAAAGACUACUCAAGCCAAAAACAAGAAUUCUUACCGUUCCUUGCUUGAAUCACCAAAACCAAGCUUUUUCUUCCUUUCUCUCUUUUUCUUUCUUCUUCUCCUAGAGUUUAGAUGUGCUAGAAAUUGGGGUUAGAAGUUGUAACUUUGGUGCACAAGAAGUUGGGAGAAGAAUGAGGCAAGAAGAGAAAAGAAAUGAAAAGAAAACAAGGAAAGAAAAUGAAAGAAAAUUAGCUUUCCAUGGGAGAAUGAGAGAAUGGCAUUGGAA
This 1032-nucleotide long non-coding RNA is filed under the name Theobroma cacao (cacao). RNAcentral describes it as "long non-coding RNA (TCAC_LNC005307)". The record is from RNAcentral. Lineage: Eukaryota; Viridiplantae; Streptophyta; Magnoliopsida; Malvales; Malvaceae.